RNAcentral lists this ribosomal RNA (460 nucleotides) under uncultured bacterium. RNAcentral describes it as "partial 16S ribosomal RNA". It matches the Rfam family "Bacterial small subunit ribosomal RNA", at positions 338 to 795 of the family's 1533-position model. The record is from RNAcentral.
CCUACGGGAGGCUGCAGUGAGGAAUAUUGGUCAAUGGACGAGAGUCUGAACCAGCCAAGUAGCGUGAAGGAUGACUGCCCUCUGGGUUGUAAACUUCUUUUAUCAAGGAAUAAAACGAGGCACGUGUGCCUUUUUGCAUGUACUUUAUGAAUAAGGAUCGGCUAACUCCGUGCCAGCAGCCGCGGUAAUACGGAGGAUCCGAGCGUUAUCCGGAUUUAUUGGGUUUAAAGGGAGCGUAGAUGGGUUGUUAAGUCAGUUGUGAAAGUUUGCGGCUAAACCGUAAAAUUGCAAUUGAUACUGGCAGUCUGGAGUACAGUUGAGGUAGGCGGAAUUCGUGGUGUAGCGGUGAAAUGCGUAGAGAUCACGAAGAACCCCGAUUGCGAAGGCAGCUUACUAAACUGUGACUGACAUUGAUGCGCGAAAGUGUGGGUAUCAAACAGGAUUAGAUACCCUUGUAGUC